CAGUCGCCGCGGUAAUACGAAGGGUGCAAGCGUUAAUCGGAAUUACUGGGCGUAAAGCGUGCGUAGGCGGUGAGUUAAGUCUGCUGUGAAAUCCCCGGGCUCAACCUGGGAAUGGCAGUGGAUACUGGCUCGCUAGAGUGUGUCAGAGGAUGGUGGAAUUCCCGGUGUAGCGGUGAAAUGCGUAGAUAUCGGAAGGAACACCUGUGGCGAAAGCGGCUCACUGGACCAUAACUGACGCUGAUGCACGAAAGCGUGGGGAGCAAACAGGAUUAGAUACCCCGGUAGUCCCUGUCUCUUAUAA
RNAcentral lists this ribosomal RNA (301 nucleotides) under uncultured bacterium. RNAcentral describes it as "partial 16S ribosomal RNA". It matches the Rfam family "Bacterial small subunit ribosomal RNA", at positions 509 to 809 of the family's 1533-position model. The record is from RNAcentral.